Molecule: ribosomal RNA, 253 nt
Filed under: uncultured bacterium
Lineage: Bacteria
Description: partial 16S ribosomal RNA
Rfam family: Bacterial small subunit ribosomal RNA
Source: RNAcentral
UACGGAGGGUGCAAGCGUUGUCCGGAAUCACUGGGCGUAAAGGGCGCGUAGGCGGCCCGGUAAGUAGGGGGUGAAAUCCUGCGGCUUAACCGCAGGGCUGCCUUCUAAACUGUCGGGCUCGAGCACGGUAGAGGCAGAUGGACUUCCCGGUGUAGCGGUGGAAUGCGUAGAGAUCGGGAAGAACAUCAGUGGCGAAGGCGGUCUGCUGGGCCGUUGCUGACGCUGAGGCGCGACAGCGUGGGGAGCAAACAGG